RNAcentral lists this long non-coding RNA (356 nucleotides) under Anser cygnoides (Swan goose). Its description in RNAcentral is "lncRNA (ENSACDG00005009384.1)". The record is from RNAcentral. Lineage: Eukaryota; Metazoa; Chordata; Aves; Anseriformes; Anatidae.
GAUAGAUGAUCCUUAGAGACUACUGACUUUGUCUACACUGGAUCCAGGAUGUGCCAUGCAAUUCAGAUGCCUGAUCCAAAUGCCCUAUUUUAUUCUUGAAAGAGAGGUGAAAUCUCUAAUUUUGCAGAAUUUGAUUUAUCCCUCCUCUUCCCCAAAAUCUCUAAUUUACUUUGUCCUGGGAAUAACCUCAUUUGUUCAGAUAGAGAAGAGACUGAAGAAACAUUAGAAAGAAGCAGAGACAGGAUGGGAGAUUUUUUACUUAAUAGGAAAAGGAUGCAUUGGUCAGUAAGCAUUGGCACAUACAAGAACACAUACUUUACAUUUAAAUUUCCUAAUAAAGGUGUAGUAAAUAAACA